This 66-nucleotide transfer RNA is filed under the name Fistularia petimba (red cornetfish). RNAcentral's name for it is "tRNA-Cys". It matches the Rfam family "tRNA". From Rfam's summary of the family: Transfer RNA (tRNA) molecules are approximately 80 nucleotides in length. Their secondary structure includes four short double-helical elements and three loops (D, anti-codon, and T loops). The record is from RNAcentral. Lineage: Eukaryota; Metazoa; Chordata; Actinopteri; Syngnathiformes; Fistulariidae.
AGCCUCGGGGUGUAAGCACGUUAGAUUGCAAAUCUUAAGAAGCCGGCUAAUCCCCGGCCGGGGCUU